RNAcentral lists this ribosomal RNA (696 nucleotides) under uncultured bacterium. Its description in RNAcentral is "bacterial SSU rRNA". It matches the Rfam family "Bacterial small subunit ribosomal RNA", at positions 32 to 715 of the family's 1533-position model. The record is from RNAcentral.
AACGCUAGCUACAGGCUUAACACAUGCAAGUCGAGGGGAAACGACAUCGAAAGCUUGCUUUUGAUGGGCGUCGACCGGCGCACGGGUGAGUAACGCGUAUCCAACCUGCCCACCACUUGGGGAUAACCUUGCGAAAGUAAGACUAAUACCCAAUGAUAUCUCUAGAAGACAUCUGAAAGGGAUUAAAGAUUUAUCGGUGAUGGAUGGGGAUGCGUCUGAUUAGCUUGUUGGCGGGGUAACGGCCCACCAAGGCGACGAUCAGUAGGGGUUCUGAGAGGAAGGUCCCCCACAUUGGAACUGAGACACGGUCCAAACUCCUACGGGAGGCAGCAGUGAGGAAUAUUGGUCAAUGGGCGAGAGCCUGAACCAGCCAAGUAGCGUGCAGGAUGACGGCCCUAUGGGUUGUAAACUGCUUUUAUAAGGGAAUAAAGUGAGUCUCGUGAGACUUUUUGCAUGUACCUUAUGAAUAAGGACCGGCUAAUUCCGUGCCAGCAGCCGCGGUAAUACGGAAGGUCCGGGCGUUAUCCGGAUUUAUUGGGUUUAAAGGGAGCGUAGGCGGACGCUUAAGUCAGUUGUGAAAGUUUGCGGCUCAACCGUAAAAUUGCAGUUGAUACUGGGUGUCUUGAGUACAGUAGAGGCAGGCGGAAUUCGUGGUGUAGCGGUGAAAUGCUUAGAUAUCACGAAGAACUCCGAUUG